CCUACGGGAGGCUGCAGUGGGGAAUGUUGGACAAUGGGCGCAAGCCUGAUCCAGCGAUUCCGCGUGUGGGAUGACGGCCCUCGGGUUGUAAACCACGUUAGUAGAGAACGAAAAGGGGCGAGCGAAUAAAUAGCUCUGCUGACGGUACUCUAAGAAGAAGCACCGGCUAACUACGUGCCAGCAGCCGCGGUAAUACGUAGGGUGCGAGCGUUAAUCGGAAUUACUGGGCGUAAAGGGUGUGCAGGCGGCGGAGUAAGACAGAGGUGAAAUCCCCGGGCGUAACCUGGGAACCGCCUCUGUGCCUGCUUGGCUAGAGUGCGUCAGCGGGAGGUGGCAUUCCCCGUGUAGCCGU
This 352-nucleotide ribosomal RNA is filed under the name uncultured bacterium. RNAcentral describes it as "partial 16S ribosomal RNA". It matches the Rfam family "Bacterial small subunit ribosomal RNA", at positions 338 to 682 of the family's 1533-position model. The record is from RNAcentral.